RNAcentral lists this long non-coding RNA (296 nucleotides) under Elaeis guineensis (African oil palm). RNAcentral describes it as "long non-coding RNA (EGUI_LNC002058)". Lineage: Eukaryota; Viridiplantae; Streptophyta; Magnoliopsida; Arecales; Arecaceae. The record is from RNAcentral.
GGGGUGGCCCUUUGGGGUCUUGGUUCUUGGCAUGAAGAACCCUCCAAGGAUUUAGAGAUAAGAUCUCAUUCCUCCCCUCACUUUUCUUCUAAAGAUUAAUGCCAAAGAAAAUCACCCCGCUUUGCUACGAAGCCUGGCGUACGCAUGAAGUAGAGGGUCUGUACAUUCAAACCUCGCGAGAUAUCGGAUUCAAGUUCUCUUAGAAUUUUGAUGCCUAUUCUACUGUAAACAAGGUAACCCAUAAUUGUUAUAUAAUUCUUAGAAUAGAAAAAUUUUUCAGAUGCACUCUGGUGAUC